GAAAUGUGAUAAGUAAUGUGAAUUGCAGAAUUCAGUGAAUCAUCGAAUCUUUGAACGCACCUUGCGCUCCUUGGUAUUCCUUGGAGCAUGCCUGUUUGAGUAUCAUGAAAUCUUCAAAGUAAAUCUUUUGUUAACUCAAUUGGUUUCUACUUUGGUAUUGGAGGUCUUUGCAGCUUCACACCUGCUCCUCUUUGUUCAUUAGCUGGAUCUCAGUGUUAUGCUUGGUUCCACUCGGCGUGAUAAGUUAUCUAUCGCUGAGGACACUGUAAAAGGUGGCCAAGGUAAAUGCAGAUGAACCGCUUCUAAUAGUCCAUUGACUUGGACAAUACUUUUAUGAUCUGAUCUGAAAUCAGGUAGGACUACCCGCUGAACUUAAGC
RNAcentral lists this unclassified non-coding RNA (378 nucleotides) under plant metagenome. Its description in RNAcentral is "partial contains 5.8S ribosomal RNA, internal transcribed spacer 2, and large subunit ribosomal RNA". The stretch from base 1 to 105 matches the Rfam family "5.8S ribosomal RNA", at positions 50 to 154 of the family's 154-position model. The record is from RNAcentral.